This 761-nucleotide ribosomal RNA is filed under the name uncultured Inocybe. RNAcentral's name for it is "eukaryotic LSU rRNA". It matches the Rfam family "Eukaryotic large subunit ribosomal RNA", at positions 216 to 962 of the family's 3401-position model. The record is from RNAcentral. Lineage: Eukaryota; Fungi; Basidiomycota; Agaricomycetes; Agaricales; Cortinariaceae.
GAAUCCCGUCUUUGGCACGGAUGCCUGGUGCUUCUGUGAUGCGCUCUCGAAGAGUCGAGUUGUUUGGGAAUGCAGCUCAAAAUGGGUGGUGAACUCCAUCUAAAGCUAAAUAUUGGCGAGAGACCGAUAGCGAACAAGUACCGUGAGGGAAAGAUGAAAAGAACUUUGGAAAGAGAGUUAAACAGUACGUGAAAUUGCUGAAAGGGAAACGCUUGAAGUCAGUCGCGUUGGCUAGAAAUCAACCUUGCUUUUGCUUUGUGUACUUUCUGGUUGACGGGUCAGCAUCAAUUUUGACCACUGGAUAAAGUCUUUGGGAAUGUGGCAUCUUUGGAUGUGUUAUAGCCCAUUGUCGCAUACGGUGGUUGGGAUUGAGGAACUCAGCACGCCGCAAGGCCGGGUUUCGACCACGUUCGUGCUUAGGAUGCUGGCAUAAUGGCUUUAAUCGACCCGUCUUGAAACACGGACCAAGGAGUCUAACAUGCCUGCGAGUGUUUGGGUGGAAAAACCCAUGCGCGCAAUGAAAGUGAAAGUUGAGAUCCUCUUCAAAGGGGGAGCAUUGACGCCCGGACCAGACCUUUUGUGACGGAUCCGCGGUAGAGCAUGCAUGUUGGGACCCGAAAGAUGGUGAACUAUGCCUGAAUAGGGUGAAGCCAGAGGAAACUCUGGUGGAGGCUCGUAGCGAUUCUGACGUGCAAAUCGAUCGUCAAAUUUGGGUAUGGGGGCGAAAGACUAAUCGAACCAUCCAGUAGCUGGUUCCUGCC